RNAcentral lists this unclassified non-coding RNA (204 nucleotides) under uncultured Inocybe. Its description in RNAcentral is "partial internal transcribed spacer 2". Lineage: Eukaryota; Fungi; Basidiomycota; Agaricomycetes; Agaricales; Cortinariaceae. The record is from RNAcentral.
AACUUCUCAACCACAUCAGAUGAAAAUUUUUUUUGAUUGUGGCUUGGACUUGGGAGUUGUAUGCAGGCCUAAUAAGGUCGGCUCUCCUGAAAUGUAUUAGUGGUAUCUGAGGCUAUUGCUAUAGGUGUGAUAAUUUAUCUAUGCCUUUGGUAUUGCUGCAUGAACAGAUUACACUGCUUCUAACAAAGAAAAAAAACUUGACAA